CAAAAACCAAGAUCUGUCGGACUUCUCCUCCAACCUCGGUCCUUCUUCUGCUCUCUCUCCGCUCCGAGGACACCCAAGCUCCUCCGCCCCGCCAAGGCUCCGCCCGGGCCACCCUUCGCCAGCCUGUUCAAGCUCGCCGGUCUGCUCCAUCAAGCGCGCUUUUCCUCACUUGCUGCGGCCAUUAUUUCUGCUCUUACUAUUGUAAAGUUAGACAUUUUUACUUCCUUCCCCUGCUAGCUAUUAGACUACUUAAUACUUCAGGUCAUUACAGCUUUCUCUUUACUCACAAUAACAAUAGCCAUAACAAUAAUUUAAAUUUAAAACCAGAUCAAUUUGGUUUCACGUCAGAUCCACAAUCGACACAGUUAAAUUUGGUCAAGAAAUAAUUGAACUUUAUGUUAAUAGUUCGUCGACGAGCCGGCCCUCCGACGGCCUGAAGCGAACCCCGUACACCUCAGCCCUCUCUUAUUGGUUCACCCUGCAUUCUACAAGCCAUCACCCCUGCAACACCCUGUCAUCCGCCCUAUCACCCUGCACUCUACGCCCUUUGCUAGCUCGAAGCUUGUCGGACCCGUCACCUCUCGGUCGCUGGUUCAUGUGCAUGCUUCAUUGUCUCUCGGUCAUUGCUGCCGCAGCCGUCGCCAUACCCACCCUGAUUUUUUGACAAGGAUGGCGUUGUUUUGGCAGAUAUCCAUCUCUUCGUGUCGCUUAUGUUGAUGAGGUAGAAGAGACUAGCAAAGAUAGGUCAAAAAAGAUCAAGAAAGUUUAUUACUCUGCACUGGUAAAGGCGGCGACUUCGACUAAAACUGAUGAAUCUUCAAAGACAAUACAAAACCUUGACCAGGUAGUGCAUGAUGAUUCUUGGGACAAGAAAGACAAUGAACUGCAAGCUCCCCUUUUUGUUUCUAAGCUGACCUUUUUUUCUGAAAAAUAUGAUGAUAGUACUUCAUUUUACCACUUUGUUCUUUUGGUGAAUGUUGACUAUAUGUGUAAUAGGGUGAUGGAAACUAUGUACAAGAUGAAUGGUUAGGAAAAAAAUAUGAAAAUUGUGGAUGCUAAUUUCUUUUAUUGUUAA
Molecule: long non-coding RNA, 1075 nt
Organism: Ananas comosus (pineapple)
Lineage: Eukaryota; Viridiplantae; Streptophyta; Magnoliopsida; Poales; Bromeliaceae
Exons: 3
Source: RefSeq, a predicted model, not a curated record